This 570-nucleotide ribosomal RNA is filed under the name Hamptophryne boliviana. RNAcentral describes it as "partial 16S ribosomal RNA". It matches the Rfam family "Bacterial large subunit ribosomal RNA", at positions 1809 to 2609 of the family's 2925-position model. The record is from RNAcentral. Lineage: Eukaryota; Metazoa; Chordata; Amphibia; Anura; Microhylidae.
AAAAACAUCGCCUCCUGAAAAAAUAGGAGGUCCAGCCUGCCCAGUGACCAAGUUAAACGGCCGCGGUACCCUAACCGUGCGAAGGUAGCGCAAUCACUUGUUCUUUAAAUGAGGACUAGUAUGAACGGCAUCACGAGGGUCUCACUGUCUCCCCCCUCUAAUCAGUGAAACUGAUCUCCCCGUGAAGAAGCGGGGAUAAAUAUAUAAGACGAGAAGACCCCAUGGAGCUUUAAACUCAAUUUCAACUACCAUAAAUAAAUCAUAAAAAAUAGGUAGCCAUGACUAUUAGUUUUCGGUUGGGGUGACCACGGAGCAAAACACAACCUCCACGACGAAUGACUCUCUACCUCUAAUCAUAGAGUGACGACUCAAAGAAUCAACAAAUUGACCCAUUUGACCCAAAUUUUUGAUCAACGAACCAAGUUACCCUGGGGAUAACAGCGCAAUCCAUUUCAAGAGCCCCUAUCGACAAAUGGGUUUACGACCUCGAUGUUGGAUCAGGGUAUCCUAGUGGUGCAGCCGCUACUAAAGGUUCGUUUGUUCAACGAUUAAAACCCUACGUGAUCUGAG